RNAcentral lists this ribosomal RNA (388 nucleotides) under uncultured bacterium. RNAcentral describes it as "bacterial SSU rRNA". It matches the Rfam family "Bacterial small subunit ribosomal RNA", at positions 30 to 420 of the family's 1533-position model. The record is from RNAcentral.
AUUGAACGCUGGCGGCAUGCCUUACACAUGCAAGUCGAACGGCAGCGGACCUUCGGGUGCCGGCGAGAGGCGAACGGGUGAGUAAUAUAUCGGAACGUACCUUUUAGUGGGGGAUAACGUAGCGAAAGUUACGCUAAUACCGCAUAUUCUGUGAGCAGGAAAGCAGGGGAUCGCAAGACCUUGCGCUGAUUGAGCGGCCGAUAUCAGAUUAGCUAGUUGGUGAGGUAAAGGCUCACCAAGGCGACGAUCUGUAGCGGGUCUGAGAGGAUGAUCCGCCACACUGGAACUGAGACACGGUCCAGACUCCUACGGGAGGCAGCAGUGGGGAAUUUUGGACAAUGGGCGCAAGCCUGAUCCAGCCAUGCCGCGUGAGUGAAGAAGGCCUCGG